This 253-nucleotide ribosomal RNA is filed under the name uncultured bacterium. RNAcentral's name for it is "partial 16S ribosomal RNA". It matches the Rfam family "Bacterial small subunit ribosomal RNA", at positions 524 to 776 of the family's 1533-position model. The record is from RNAcentral.
UACAGAGGUCUCAAGCGUUGUUCGGAUUCAUUGGGCGUAAAGGGCGCGUAGGCUGCGGGGUAAGUCGGGUGUGAAAUCUCAGGGCUCAACCCUGAAACUGCACUCGAUACUGCUCUGCUUGAGGACUGGAGAGGAGACUGGAAUUCACGGUGUAGCAGUGAAAUGCGUAGAGAUCAUGAGGAAGACCAGUGGCGAAGGCGGGUCUCUGGACAGUUCCUGACACUGAGACACGAAGGCCAGGGGAGCAAACGGG